AAGCACUGAACUUCUCUCCACUGGUGGUGUCAUUGCUGCUGAAUCCAAAAGAUCUCUUGCAUUUGGCAAAACCCUAAUGGAGCAUGCAUAAAUUGCUAAAUUGCAAGUCUUCUCGGAUCUGUUGGAAGUAAAGAUUCAGCUGGAGUAGUUCCCCACAAAAAAAUAGUAAGCAAAUAAUUUCAGAAAAUAGAUGGAGGUUUAACAAAACUUGUGUAAACUAAAGCAAGAGAUGAGCAAGGAUAAAAGAGAAGAUAAUUGUAUAUAGUUAUGGAUUUCUUUUUCCAGAGCCUUGUCCUCCUGCUGAUAGGAACGGCUGAGCUGUCAAACUUGCCUCCACAGGGAAAAGAGCAGAAUGAGUCAGAAUCAAACAGCCAGCUAUGAGAGAACACAACAGUCUGGUAUUGUCCUCUGGGCCCUUUAGAGCAAUCAUGGAGGCUUAUCCUUUCCAUCUUCAUUUUUAGAAGUGCUGGCCCCUUUACAGAAAACUUAAGGCACUAAAGCUUGAAGACUGCAGCAGCACAAAAGAAGGGCUCAGCCAUGGCUGUCUAUCUCUCUUCCCCUCUCCUUUCUUACAUAAUUGAUUGUCUUGAUAACAAUGUAAAUAUUCUCUUUGAAAUGCUAACCUUAUUGGCUAUGCUAAAACAGAGUGAUUAUGCCCUUCGCUGUCAAAAUAUAAGGAGGAAAGCAUGGGUUGUCACCAGAGCAUUGACAAAGAGAUGGCCCAGAGCUUGAACAGCAAGUGCAAAUAUUCUACAGGAGUCUGUAGCUGUGCACGUGCUCCUGUUUGACCACUGACACAUGGGGGCACUGAUCUAGUUUUUACCUUGCGUGGAUAAGAUGAAAAGCAGCAUAUAUCCUAGGAAGAACAUACACUGAAGCUGUCCUCUUUAACUACAUCAUGGAGAGUUUGGGAUGUAAACGGUGAAACUGUGUAAGUUUUAGAUGAUUUGGAAGAGUGCGUCUGACCCAUGUUUGACACUUGCACCAAACUUGUCUCCUUUUCUUCUAGAAAAGCAAUAGUUCUUAUUGGUGGACCUGUCCCAAAGUAGGUCAUCCCAGUGUAUCCAUUUCACAGGCAAGGUGCUAUAAACAUAAAACAUACGAUUUUGGUUGAAUAGUCAUCAGCUGAAAUAAGGUAGCCAUGCUCCCGGAAGUCAUAGCAAUGUAGAAUUGUAGGGUUUGAAGGGACCCCAAGGGCCAUCUAGUCCAACCCCUUGCCAUGUAGGAAUUGCCAUUAAAUAAUCCCUGAUAGAUGGCCAUCCAACCUCUACUUAAAAACCUCCAAGGAAGGAGAAUUUGCCACCUUCAGAGGUCAUCUGCUUCACUGUUGAACAGCUCCUCCCAUGCUGCAUGCCUACAAUAACAUUUCAUUCCUGGCUCAGUUAUUUCUCUUUUACAUGUUGCAAAACAUCCAUUUCAGAAAUGAACUACCUGCCAUUUAUGUAUUCACUCCGGGUUCUGCCCAAGCUUGCAUUGCUCACCAACCUCACCAAAAACCUGUCCCACCAGCCAGCCAGCUGCCCUCUAGACCUCACCUCUACAUACUAACCCAUUAGACCAGGGAUGGAGAACCCUAUGGGCCAACUGCAAUUUUACAUAACUGUUGAUGUUGUAAUCAUGGUGUCACAUGAUUGACAGGUGGGUUCCACCUGUUCAAAUCCCAGCCUCUGUGAUUGAAAUGCAGAGUGUGAGAAGGGUUGCAAGCCUGGCCUGUGCUCAUCCUCUCAAGUUUGUGCACUUUCCCACCCGUUUUUACUUUACCCACCAGUGUAUAAAUAUAAAACCUCAUUUAACUGACUGCUGUUUUCUUGUAUUCUAAUCUGGGCAGGCCUUUAAACAUUGCAUCUCAGACCAUGUCGUUGGCUCAAUCUUUUCAGCUGCGUUACAGUACAAAUGUGCUUUGUCUCUGAAAUUUGCUGCUCCACUUGUGGGUGUCAAAAAUUGGGCAAGGCUAUUUCAUGGAUUCUGCAAGUUGUCUGUGAUUUAUUUCAUUUCAUUUUUAUAAACGGUAGGACAUGGCUUGUGUAGUCCCUCGGUGGCACCAACAGAAAUGUCAAGUUGCAAGUCUGUAAAAGUCAAACCUUUUGGCAUUCCUUCAGAUCCCAGGUUUGUGAACAUAGAAUGGAGUUCAUGAGAAGGGAGGGCAAUGGACUCUGCAUAUAUUAGAAGGAUCUGCGUUGAUGUUCCAGGAAGAGUUCUAACACUACCAGGUUUGAGCCUUCCCUCUUCUUCACUCUGCCUCCCCAAAAUCUGGAAGAUCCCUGUGAAAUUUAACACAUCUUUUCACAACUCAGCAUGAUGAAUGAGACAACCCUGACAGUGAUGGUAAGUUAUUAAUGUGCUGAAAGUGAAGGUUUAAACUAUUUUAAGAGUGAUUCUCUUUGAGCGCUGCAUUUUACUUUGAGUACAAUGCAGCUAUUUUCAAGGAGCACCUGAUUUUUAUCCCACUCGGCAUCUUUAUUAGAUUUGAAAUUUUUUUCAUACAGUAUAUGUUAUGGUUUUUCAUGAUUUUUAAUAUAUGCAGUUGUUUUAACUGUUGUUAUAUAUGGAAUUGUAUGUGUGUGUGUGUGUGUGUGUGUGUGUGUGUACACACACACACACACACAUAUAUAUAUAUAUAAUAUUAUUAUUAUUAUUAUUAUUAUUAUUUUGUGAAGUUGCUUUGGGAUGCUUCACAGGAAGUGAUCUAUAAAUGAAACGAAAUAAAUUCCUGCCUUCUAUCACAUUAUCUGUCAUAUUUGGUGAGCCAAUGCUCAUCCCAUGAAUUUCUCAAACUUCUCCCACACACCUACUGGUAUUGUUUCUAAUCACCGUCUUCUCUGUAUAUUACCAAUUUUAAUGCUGGUUGAAAUAUGUACCCAACAUUAAAAUAAGCAUGUGCCAAGGAUUUCCAUAUGGCAUGCCGGUUGUUCAUACUACUGAAAUUAAUGGACAAAACUAACUUGGGUCUGGGACGUGGGUGCCGAUCAGAAGGUCAGCAGUUCGAAUCCCCGUGACGGGGUGAGCUCCCGUUGCUCGGUCCCAGCUCCUGCCAACCUAGCAGUUCAAAAGCACGUCAAAGUGCAAGUAGAUAAAUAGGUACCACUCCGGCGGAAAGGUAAAUGGCGUUUCCGUGUGCUGCUCUGGUUCGCCAGAGUACACCAGCUCCCUCGGCCAAUAAAGCGAGAUGAGCACCGCAACCCCAGAGUCGGUCACGACUGGACCUAAUGGUCAGGGGUCCCUUUACAUUUACCUAACUUGGGUCCAUUAAUUCCAGUGGGUCUACUCUUGGUAGAAUAUAGUUGGUUUAGUGUUCAGCCCGAAAGCUAUGGUACAGAGAUGGAAAAAUAAUGGUGGGUGAGCAUUUAUCCCCACAAAAAAUCAUGACAACAGGUUGCAAGCUGUUUCAUGAGCUCUGCUAUAGAGUCAGACAUUAAAGCCCAUAGCUUCAUUCUGCAAAUCAGGCAUAGGCAAACUUGGCCCUCCAGAUGUUUUGGGACCUACAACUCUCAUCAUCCCUAGCUAACAGUGGUCAGGGAUGAUGGGAAUUGUAGUUUCAAAACAUCUGGAGGGCCAAGUUUGCCUAUGCCUGCUGUAAACUAAAAAAAGAAAAUAAAAGCUGAAUACUCCCGCAUCCAACAGUGUGAUCCCCCACCCAGGUUAUUUUAGCUGAGGCCAGAGCUCAUGAUGCAAAAAUCCAUGCUCAUGCUUGCUCCAAUAUUCAGCACAUGUUUUCAGCUGUCGUAAUACAUAAACAAAGGCCCAUUUGGGUGACAUUUAUUCCUUCCUUGUCACUCUGUCAAAUUGAUCGCAGAUAUCAUUGCCAUGGAGAGACAUAACACAUAUUUUUUUUAAAAAGAAAAGCUGGGAGGCUCAUUUGUGAAAGGGCAUGGGCGGAUUUAUUUGUUUGAGCUUUGAAGGUACCUCUAGUGUGAUUGGCUGGUCCUCUGUUAACAUACAUCAAUCACUGCUCGAAGAGAAGCUGCUGGUGUCCUUCAGCAGCCAUUUUACACACAAUGCAAAUAUAGCAGCUCUGCAGCCCAAUCCUGUGAUCUUCCCUCUCUGAUCACUUUCUUCUUCUUCUGCGCGAUGCUCAGCCCUGCUGCAAUGAUCAAACAUCAGCUCCAGAUCAAGGCCAAGGAAGGCAGCUGUGAACUAAGAUGCACAAACUUUCUACAUAUGCUUACCUCAGCAAACGUUCAGUGUGAUCUUUUCACAUCAGGAGUUGCUGUUGCCCAGCGUGAGCACAAAUGCCAGCAAUAAAGGUCUCUCCUGCUUCCCUCCAAUUGGGAGGUCAAGGUCAUCUUAAUGUUUCUGUUUGCUUACACAGGUACUGAAGGAUCUCAGGCCACUCAAGCCUUACAACAGAAACCCACAUCAAUUUGUAAAUGUCAACCAAUUACACAGUCGCCCCAGAAGCACGUUAACUGAAGAAGUUCCCAAAUGAAGGCUCAGGAAAUCCUCUCACUUUGAUUACUCAAGGUCUCAAUUUGAGAUGUAUAUUGGUAGUCUUUUUUUAUUGCUAAUACGAUAUAUGGGUGAUGCAAGCACACUUAUUCAAAAUCCCUGGGCAGAAACAGAGCUCUCUCUGCAUACAUCAUUGCAUUGUCAUGCCAUUCCGUUACUCCCUUAACACAGAAGUGCACAUUUCAUGAAACCCAGAUAUGACAUUUAGGACAAAUUCAUCUUUACCCUCCAGAGCUGCAGGGCUUCUGCAGCAAUUCCUGGCAUCAGAUGAAUGAGAUGCAUACCUUGGCAGCAGAGACAAUCACUAAUGGAAAAACCAGCAUUCAAAUGGUGUAGUGUGGAAGCAUCUAAACUGAGCCAAUUAAAGCUGAAAAAUGAAUUCUCAGCCAUGCAAUCCUAUGUAUGUCUGCUCAGACUUUGGCCACACUGAGUUCAGUGGGACAUGGCCUCAGCCAGCAUAGCCCUCCCAACUCUUAAAUGUUAGAUUAUAUUUUGUUCUGAUAGGAACUUGCAUGGGUCAGGCACUCCCGCUCCUGAUGUCUGACUCCCAGACAGGACAUUUGUUGUUGUUGUUUAGUCAUUUAGUCAUGUCCAACUCUUCGUGACCCCAUGGACCAGAGCACGCCAGGCACUCCUGUCUUACACUGCCUCCCGCAGUUUGGUCAAACUCAUGCUGGUAGCUUCAAGAACACUGUCCAACCAUCUUGUCCUCUGCCGUCCCCUUCUCCUUGUGCCAUCAAUUUUUCCCAACAUCAGGGUCUUUUCCAGGGAGUCUUCUCUUCUCAUGAGGUGGCUAAAGUAUUGGAGCCUCAGCUUCAGAAUCUGUCCUUCCAGUGAGCACUCAGGGCUGAUUUCCUUCAGAAUGGAUAGGUCUGACCUUCUUGCAGUCCAUGGGACUCUCAAGAGUCUCUUCCAGCACCACAGUUCAAAAGCAUCAAUUCUUUGGCGAUUAGCCUUCUUUAUGGUCCAGCUCUCACUUCCAAACAUCACUACUGGGAAAACCAUAGCUUUAACUAUAUGGACCUUUGUCGGCAAGGUGAUGUCUCUACUUUUUAAGAUGCUGUCUAGGUUUGUCAUCGCUUUUUCCCCAAGAAGCAGGCAUCUUUUAAUUUCGUGACGGCUGUCACCAUCUGCAGUGAUCAUGGAGCCCAAGAAAGUAAAAUCUCUCAGUGCCUCCAUUUCUUCCCCUUCUAUUUGCCAGGAGGUGAUGGGACCAGUGGCCAUCUUAGUUUAGGACAACAUUACUCUGGGUCAAAUCAGACCACAGAUUUAUUGAUUACAAAUGUAGAGGUUUUACAUAGGCAUUGAGUAUAACUAUUGAACCAGUAGCCCACCUGCUGGGGUAUCCCUUUUCGGGGUCAGCCCAGGGCAAAAGGGUGCUAGGACAAGGAGGAAAGCCUUCAUGGGACUGCUGCCUUGAGGAAUGCUAUGGCCUUUGCCCCUGCCUGGGUGCCUGGACAGGAGCAACUUUAAUGGGAUACUCCUGCAGUCUGGAAGGGCAGGCAGAAACUCCACCAAAGACUAAAAUGUAUCCAAAGCCUAAACUGCAAAAGUUGUGACAAUUGCUAUGAGGUAGGCAAAACCAAGGGACAAAACCAAUUAGUCUGGAUAUAUUAGGCAUUCACUAUUAGAUUAAAUUCCUUGCUUCCAAGAAGCUCAUUGUGGCACUCGUGGCUCUUCCUCUCACCAUGUUCUCUUUACAUCAACCCUCUAGUUAGGCUGAGAGACAGUGAUUGACCCAGGAUCUCUCCAUGAGUUUCAUGGCAAAUUAAAUCCUGGUCUCCUGGGUCCUAAUCCACUUAAAAGCUCUCCACCUUAUUGCACAUUCUAUAAAAAAUAUGUAGAAGUCAACAAACUGGGGGAGGGGAACAAUAUCUUCCCUUUAGUCUGGAAAUUUAUGUUAGCACCUUUAAAUCUAACUAAGGAAGGAAGCAUAUGAGCAAUAGUAAAUAAUUUCUGAAGUGCCCCAUCUUCCACACAGGAGUGAUUUAGGAUGUUCAAUAUCUGUGCAUCUUCGCCAGCUGUUGCUCAUAAUUUCUGGCACAGUGCAAAAACUUAUGACAGCAGUCGCAGUUCUUUCACCACACUGGUUGCAAACUGAAAGAACUGUGUCUCUGCAUAAACUUAUAAUGGGUGACACAUGAACCAGUACAACAGCACAAACUGGUAAAAACAGCUAAACAUUUGAGCACCUAAAGGCAGGACUUAAGUUCUGUACCAGCAAACACCAGGUGACUUGGUAAUACAAGCCAUCUUGACUAUGAGUCCUGGAAGACCCGCUCACAGUCUUGAAGGCCUUUUUCUGUCUGGCCUGGAAGGACCAGCAACAGAAGCUGAGGCUGCUGAAGAGGCCAGAGGCCAUCUUGGCUGUCGCUUACUGCUGGUCCAGGUUGUUGAGCCUGAAUUUCCAUAGCCACCGGCCAACACGAACCACCAUUGGCAGGAUUAGCAGCAGCAGAUAUGUUCUAUGGUUUUAAUAAUAUUUUAUUUUCUUGUUAAGUAUGUUACUUUGAAUGCAUACUUAUUUGACUCCCUUCAAUAAUAUUGUGUUCUGGAUUGUUUUAUUUGAUGUUUUAAUGUGUUGUAAACCACUUGGAGAUUUUUUUUGGUAAAAAUAUAAAGUGGUAUAGAAAUAUAAACUAAAAUAAACUAAGCUAAGCUAAGCUAAAAUAGCCCUGAAUGGGAUUGGUGCAGCCUAUUAUGAUCCCUGGCCUGCCAUUGUCCCCAUUCUUUUAGACAGGGACAGGGGACAAUGCCAGCCUGUUGCAGAGAUUUAUGCUGAUUGGAAUUUUGUAAAAGGGGGGAAAAUGUCAUGGACAUUUUUAAUUACAUGUUAAAUGACAGGUGUUUUAAGAUACAAUAAUUUACUAUUAAAAUACGUUUCAAUGUGUUAUUUAUUUAAAUAAAUAAAAUGAAGAUUAACAACAUCAGUUUGCAUGGUUAAAGUGCCCUUUUGAGUACACACACAGAGGGAGUGAAAAAAGCCCUGGCCUACUCUUGAGUAAAAUUUGGUGGAUACCAACCUUACAACCAGUCUAGGGGGUGAAUUGGCUGUCAGCUUCCUCCUGCUCCUCAGCCUCAGCACUGCCCCUUCUAGAACUCAGCAGGGAAGAGGUUGGGAGCAAGACUAGAAUUUGUUGGCUCUGCCUGUCAUUGGUUUUGGCACCCCCUACUGUUGGGCUCCCUGCCUCCCUCCCUACUAGUUCCAAUGGGCACCAACCUCCACCGGGUUUAGAGCAUGUCCAAAAUGCCAAGAGCAUGAUGUAGGCUGUUAUUGUCCCCCUUCUUAUAAACAUUUCCACACUGACAUAGUUGAGCAAGCACAGAGCUUGCUUUUUAUGUGCCUGGGGAUGUUUUGCCAUCACACUAUUAUUUUCUGUCUCCUCUUCAUUUUGUCUGUAUAAAAGAUACAUAUUUAGGGAAGUCAUUGAAAGUCUUUCCCUAUUAAGUUUACCCCUCGUUGUCAGUGUUGCCAAUAUGCUUGGUGCCAGCCCAUGUCCAAAACGAUCUGCUGAGUUCAGUUUGUAUUUCAGGCAGGAAUGUCACAUCGUGUGAAAUGUGGGGGAGGAAAAGACCACAAAAUGCUGGUGUCAGAAAAGUGGGGGGGGGGGGACUGUGAAACUCCAGAAACCUCUGAGAGGGGGGGACUUUCCUAUUCUAUAAAGGGGUGGGGAUUACAGACAGUCAUUUUGAAUCCCCAAGGAAGUACCAUGCAAAACUAGAAUUACUCAGAGCUUUGCCUCAUUAUGAAAAUCAGAUUUUGAAUAGGUAUGAUCUUGGCCAUUUUCAGUGACAGAUCACAUAGAAAUGAGCUUGAUGGUGCAGGCACUAUUUUACUCAAGUGGUACAUUCGUUUGCAAAAAUAAUCAAUAAUAGUUGGAUGCAGUGGAGCAAGCAAGCCAGGUGAUACAUGUAACUAAUUUUUAACUCCUUGUUUUGCACAAAUCUCAUUGAUUGCCCUUGACUAGGGGACUAUCUAACCAAGCAACUUUUUGUUUCAACCUUCUUCAGUUGGACCAGUUCUGCUUUAGAACAGAAUCACUCCUUUUGAAUGCAUAAUGAGCACUGCUGGAUCAGACCAGAGGCUCAUCCACUCUACGUCCAGCAUCCCAUUUUCACAGUGGCCAACCAGAUGCCCAUGGGAAGCCCACAAGCUGGACAUGAGUGCGAAACCACUCUCCCCACUUUCAUUCUCCAGAAACUGAUAUUCAGAGACACAGUAGUAGCUAAUGCCCAUUGGAACUGGUAGCAUGGAAGAAUGGAAGCCAUUAGGAGCUGAAGCCUGAGCCAAUGACAGGCAGAGCUCAGUUACAGAGCUUCUGAAGUUAGUUCCUGAGUCUUACAUAGAUGUAGAUGUAGAUAGAGUUGUGGAAUUUGAGGGGGAAAGGGUACCAGAAUGAGUUGUGCCUAAAACAUACACAGCAUGAGAAAAAUACAUUGUGUGGUUUCUGACCCAUGCUUUGAGUAAACGGCUACAGCAGAUCCAAUAUACCAAUCAUUGCUCCAUAUAUAUUGCUUGCAAAGAUUUCAGUUCAUAAACCCUGCAAUGUUUUUGCCAUAGGCAAUGAUGGAAGAAAGUUUAUGUUCUUAAUUCUUAGCCUUGAAAAGUCAUUCAGGCAAAAAAUAAAGUUUUUGCUGAUUAGUGGGCAGGAUAAAGUGAAGAAAUUGAAUUCUAGUAUCACACUAACUUGGUAUCAUUGCUUUUUAAUUUUGUUAACUUUUGAGAUCAGGCAGAAUCAAUAUGUGCCUUUGAACCUGAAGAAUGGCUAGGAACAAGAAUCAAGAGUUUCAGACAAUGUACCCAAUUAGCUUUAUCUUGGGUUUAAUACAUUUAUGAAGCAUUUGGAAUGGAGUUUUAUCCAAUGUUUCAGUGGCACUCUACCAAGCUUAGGAAAGGACUUUCCUUUAGGAUCUGCUCUGCAUCAGCAAUAGCCCAAGUUGGAAAUAGGACAAGAGAAAGGUCACAUUCAUACCAUUCAUUUAAAGCAGUAUCAUACCUCUUUAAACAGACAAAGCUCCCCCACAAGAAUUACAGGAAGUGAAGUUUGUCAGCGGUGCUGAGAGUUGUUAGGAGACCCAUAUUCCCUCAAACUGAAAGUCUCUGUGGGGUCUAGUAAAAAAAGAUGGUUCAAUUUCAUAUCAUUUAUUAAUAAAGAUGGAUAUUUUAUCUAGCUUAUGCUGAAGUAUGAGCUAGAGGAAAAUACAGCCAAGAAGAUAUAGCACACCCAUGCUCUUUUAUUAUAUCUUAAAUUUUAUUCUUAUUCUAUCUCUAUUUAGAUGGUCUUCACAUAAUAAGAAAGCAAGGGAAUUAAGAGUAACAUUUUUGUUUGACCCACCUUGCAUUCAACAGAUUGGUAAUUACUGUGGUAUUUUCUUUUCCAAAUAUCUACAAGUAUUUGUUCAACCUCAGUAAAAUUCUGCUGUACUCAUGUUCCAUGUCUGCAUUGGUGCUGCAAUGUGCUCCCCCACCCCUGGUAUCUUAUCUCUGUUUUCUCUUUCUUAUUUUCCUUCUGCAAUUUUUUUUUUCCAUUUUCUUGUAAUUUUAAAACUUCAAUAGAAAUUAUAUGGAAAAUAAGAAUAAUAGUGUUUUAAAUGUAUGGUGUGUAUGUGACCAAAGAGGAGUCACAUGUCAACUAUCCCUAUUUAUAAGGGGCAAUCUCUGUUUCAUAGUGUAGUUCACCUAAUCCCAUCCAUGCAAUGAAAGAAGGGAUAAAUGGGUUGUACUGGCAGCCAAACUCCUCUGACAUUUGUGUGUUCUGAGAGAGCAAGGAGGAGUUAAGCCUGUGUGUGCAUAGAACACAGAUGAGGAAGGAUCCUGGCCCAAUCAAAUUCCUUCCUGAUGUGGAAGAACUCUAUGCAUGUGCGUUGAAACAUGCAUAGAACUCUAUCCCAUGUGCUUUGAGCAGGCAGGUGUCUGGGGAUGUGGGGUUGCCCACGUUGCCUCACAACUCACUCUGUACUGCCUUUCAGAUACUGUAUGUGGAAGUGACCUUGUGUUUGGCAAAUCGGUAUCCUCGUUUUGCACCCAAUUUCUUUCCUUUGCUUUUGGAAAGUGCUUGAUUAAAAAGAAAAUGUAAAUGUAAGUUGCUAGAGUUGCCAUGGUUGGGAGUUCAGCCCCUCUUUAGCAAUUAAAUCUCCGAAGACAACACAGCUUGUCUUUACUGCACCUGUGAAUGCACUUGCACAGCCGGUAAUUUUGCACUCUAAAGCUGAGGCGGUUGAUACUGAUAUGAUAAUAAUGUUGUAUGUUUUUCCCCCCUAAUAGACAUUUAACCCAAAGAACACCUUAUUGGCUUUUAAAUCAGUGGAGGACAGGCUUUUGGAGUAAAUGAAUACAAAAAAGGGUACAGUGUAUCCUUCAAGAAAGCGUAGUCAUGGCGGCUUCCCUCAAAGAAACUGCUUUAACUGUAUAGUGUGGAUUUGACCACAGUUCCCUUUUCAGGAGAAGGGGCAAAAACAGGAAUUAAGCAGUUCUGCCUUUCUUUGUCAUACAUUAAAAUUUCACAUUAAUUAUUGAACAGUGAGCCUAUCAUUUCCUUCCUCUUCUUCUGAACAUAUCUGAAAAAGAUGCUUUUGUUGCUCUCAGCAUGAUCCUGAUUAGCUUUCCUGACAUGGUCCCAGAAGUCUGCGCUGCUCAUCUAUAUUGGACUUUGGCAAGUUCUCCUUCCUUCCUUUUCUUAAAUGUGUGUGUGUGUGUGUUUGUAGUUCCUUGUUAUGCCUGUUGUGCAGUCAUACUGGCUUUUAAAAAUGUCUCCCAUUUUUCUUUCUCCUGGAAUUGUUUGCAAUUGUGCCUUUACUAACUUUAGAAUUGCCAAACUAUUGCUAAGACAAUAGCUACAGAUACAUUGUUCUUUCCAUAAUUGCAGGCCAAUACAAGUUCAUCGAUUCAGGAAGACUGCAGUACACUAGCUCAACACAAAGCUUGAUAUCUGGCAGAAAAGAGUUUCAAUUUCCACUCAGUCAUUUUCAGAAAUAUAGUGUUUCAACAGUACAGACUGGCAGCCCUUUCUGUGGAUUUUAACCAACAAAUAUGCCAGUUCCUAAUUUUAUCUUCCCACUGAAGACUCAUCUAAGUUCACCCCAUUUGAUCGGCCCUUUUUGUGUGUGUCUUUAAAUAAUCUAAUGGAGACUUUCUACACUUAUCAGGAGGGUAUCUGAGGAGCCUACUUUGGCCUUUGGCCUUGCCCGCCACUGUCAUGUGAUGCCUGGAAGGUUACCUAGAAGAGAAUGUGGCUCUCAGGUUGCAAAAGUUUCCCCACUCCUAAUGUAAGGACUGUAACUUGUCUGCUUCUUGUAAGUACAGGGAUUUUUUUUUUAUCCCAUUGCAUUGUUCUUGUAGUGGGUGGGUAGAAGAAUGCAGAAUAUAAAAAAAUAUAGCACAAAUGAAUAUUAUUUUCAAAACAGCAACAACGCUAAAACAGGAUGGAGAUGCAGAAGAUUUUUCCCUCAUGGGGUGAGCUAGCAUUUCUUCCAUCUUCACACCAUAGUUGAAAGACAUACAAUAAUGAUUCACUCAUCAGUCUUGCCAUCUGGGAUGCCGUUUGCCUUCAUAUAGAUACACACAAAUCUCAGUGUGAAUGCACAUGGACACCAUAACCAGCAACCUCUCUGAUGCUGAGCUGGACAAAUGUAUUGGCAGGGCAGCUAUGGCAAUGGCAACACUAAGAUGAAGGUCCCCCAGGCUUGUGUGUUGAACACGCUGCUUUAUGGAAGUGAGUCAUGGACAACUUACAACCAUCAGGAGCGAUGCCUCGAUGCCUUCCAUAUGUCUCAGGAAGAUUUUGGGCAUCACACGGCAGGACAGAGUCUCAAAGAAAGAUGUACUUUUCCAAGCACACAUCCCCAGCAUGUUCACACUUUGUCUUAGUGACAUCUAUGUUGGCUUCUUCAUAUACACAGAAUGGAAGAUGGCAGGAUCCCUAAGGAUGUGAUUUACAGGGAGCUGGCUUCAGGUACCAGGCCUGUUGGCGCACUAACUCUGUGUUAUAAAGAUGUCUGCAAGCAUGACAUGAAGAUGCUGGAACAGUUGUAGAAACAUGCAAAAGGUUGGACUCAAGGAGUCCAUUUGCAAUUCAAAUUCUAAUCUAUUUCCAAAGAGUGUAAUACCAAGCUGAUAUUUCUACCAUAUGCUAUUUGUGUUAAUCAUUUUUUGUUUGUUUGUAAAAUUUGGUAUAACUAUGUGUGUUUAUGUGUUUCUCUUAUACUUUUCUUCUUGACUCCAGUUUUGGCUGCAAGAAAGAUCUUUUUUCAGUUUUCUCUGGUUUCAGAAGGCCAUUUUCUAUUUUAUCAAGUGAAGCUUAUGGGAACACCAAUUAGAGCCAAUUAUAACUUCAUUUACCUUUAACCCACAGUGCAGUGACCUUUGUAUUUAACCCAAUUGGAAUGCUGCCAUGCUAGAGUUAAUUGUUAAAUUUGCUGAUCCAUGGUAGGAAAGGGUCGGAGUAAUGCCCAUUUAGAAAACAGUGGAUUGUAAUUGAAUACCUCCUCUUCCCAAGGGGCAAAAGCCAGUGAUCCUUUCAACAUUUUGCAGUUCAGCUGCCUUGUUAAAGAAAAACAAAUGUGAACCUUUAUCUACAGUAUAUACCUUUCCCCCUUAUAUUUGUGCAGUUGUACAUUAUCACUGAAGCUCCCUUGGCAAAUAGAGCAUCUGCAGAUUGAGCUCCUCAAAACAGUGCAAUCCUAUGCUCCUAGAAGUGACUUUAAGUGUGCAUAGGAUUGCAACCAAAGAGUCCCAACAGGCAAAGGUAGAACUGCUCAUGAAUGGGCAACUUUCCAGGUUUUCUUUAAAUAUUUCCUAUUGGAUUCACUAGGCUGCAGAACAAAGAUACUAAGUAGAACUACUAGUGCUAUAUACUGACUUCUAAACAUCCAUAGAGUUCAUAUUUCGUUACUGCUGUAAAGCUGCACAUAUCAGGAUAUGUGGAUGACUUGCACUUCCACUGCAAUGUGCAAAGUGAGAACCAAGGGAUAUUACCCAUGGAAAGAUGUGUGAGCUUUAGUCUACAAAUAGAUUUCAAACAUAUCCUCAAUGUGGAAAUUUUUUAUUUCACCAUUACAGAAGAAGCUCUUUUGCCAGUUCUUAUAACUGUUAUAAGUUACACAUAUAACACAUAUGCAAGUCCUGUGAGUAAAGUCAGUGAAGUAAUAAAAUAUAAUAUUAUUUAUUUAUUUUCUGUGCAGUACUCAUGUUACAUGUAUGGUGUUCAUUUACACAGAUACUGCUUUGAGGCCUUUUACAACCAUGCAGUGUAUAAAUUUUAGGAAAUAACGGAAAAGUUACUGAAGUUUGAGUAUAUUAGCUUGUUGGUUGCUUACACUAUACGGGCUGUUACGACCCUCUAGCGACAUUGUUAGUAGCUGGCAGGCUGCCAAUCCCUGCUGAUAUAGGGCCAGUGUUGUGAUUUGCUAAUUGCAGCAUUAAGGCAACCUAUUGCAGACAGUGUGUGUGUUCUGUCUGGGCCGGCUUAAGGUAUAUAAACUGGGCCAAGUGCCCCUGUUUGUCAUUCUUGUUCUUGCUCCUGAUGUUCCAAUAAAUGCUUUCUGAGCUGAAUCUCAGUCUUGGGUCAUGCCUGAAUCCACCUACACUUCACAGGUAACUCCCCAAUUACAUGGGGGCUACGUUAUGAACCCCCACAAGCAUUAGUGAAAUGGCAUAAAAUGGGGAGUUGCCUGUAGGAAGAAGCUUUCCCAAUCUCAACUGAGGAAGCUGUGCUUUCCUUUGGGGCUUGGCUGACCAGGUGCUCACAUUUCCAGGUACCGGGCACCAUGCAUGUGCCCAGUCAUGUGUAAAUAGAAUGUACAUAAAUGGGGAGUUGCCUGUAAACUGGUGGUAUUAGGGCUAUGUAGGGAGUGAAUUAGGGAUGCAGGUGGCGCUGUGGGUUAAACCACAGACCCUAGGACUUGCCGAUCAGAAGGUCGGCGGUUCGAAUCCCUGUGACAGGGUGAGCUCCUGUUGCUUGGUCCCAGCUCCUGCCAACCUAGCAGUUCAAAAGCACGUCAAAGUGCACAUAGAUAAAUAAGUACCACUCCGGCAGGAAGGUAAACAGCGUUUCCAUGCGCUGCUCUGGUUCACCAGAAGCGGCCUAGUCAUGCUGGCCACAUGACCUGGAAGCUGUACACUGGCUCCCUCGGCCAAUAAAGUGAGAUGAGCGCCGCAACCCCAGAGUCAGCCACGACUGAACCUAAUGGUCAGGGGUCCCUUUACCUUUAGGGAGUGAAUUAAUUUGUUAAUCAUAUAAGCUUCAGGAGUUUGGUGUGGAGAUCACCUUCCUGUCUUCUCUGUACACAUUUCCCCAUCCUCUCUGUUCACAUUCCCACCCUUCCACCUUUAUCUUCAUCAAUCUACCAUCAUCUCACACCCGCCCCUCCAAGUUUCUCCCGCUUUUCCAUUAUAAUUUGCAUGGUUGCACCCCAGAAGUUUAAAAUGGCUCCUGAAUGGAAAUGUACACAAAGUCUCUCUUUAAAAUGCCUCUUGAGUAUUUUUAAACAUUCCCUGAAUUGCAGUGCACCUGCUAGAUAAUGAUGGCACUUGCUGCAUUGGUCUAUUUAUAAAUAUUGGUGGCGGCAAUGAAAUAAGCUACUCCUGACUAUGUCCACAGGAGGACUGAGUGGCAGAAAAAUUACAUUGGAGAAAUGUUUCCGACAUUGCUACAACAUUUUCUGAGCAGCCUACCAUUUUAAGCAAUUUUAAAGACCCUCUCUAUUUAUAGAGUUAAGGAGAAAACGAUAGCACCCAUGCCAGUUAGGCAAUUAAAAGGUGUUGCGGGUAGAGCAAAACUGACACAGUUACCAAGGGAACAGGUUUUUAUUGUCACAUGCUUAUGUCUGGAUAAGCAUUUGGAAAAGGGAUUCUGCACAAGCAGGAAGCUAGGUAGGAACUUUGCUGAGCAGGUGAACAGGAAACAAUACUUAACUCAGGAAGCAGUCAUAGACUCAUAUCCCUCACAUAAUCAUCACCCUAGUAAAAGUAAGAUAGUGCUAUAUGAACAAGGCUUCAGAUUGUGAUAGUACCAGGUGAAAACAAAAACCAAAAGAUUAGAGACCACACUUGGAAAAUUAUCACACAUUUCUUAUGACUUAAAAGAAUUUUCAAGUUGCAAAGCAUCAUACGUACGAAAAAUAGUUGCUGGCUUAGACUCCAUCUGCACUAUACACUUGAAGCAGUAUUAUACCACUUUAAACAGUCAUGGCUUCCUGCAAAGAAUCAUGGGAGCAGCAGUUUGUUAAGGGUUCUGCAAGUUGUUAAAAGACCCCCAUUAUCCCCACAGACCUACAAUUUCCAGAGUUCCCUGGGAAGAGGGACUUAUUGUUAAACCAUUCUGAGAACUUCAGCUCUGUGAGGAGAACAGAUGCCUUGUCUCCUCCACUCAUUUCUGCAAAGAACCUGCUCCAUAGAGGUUGUUCCUUCCCUAUUUCACUUCCUUGUUGGGGCUUGAUUCAGGGAACCUAAGGCCAAAGUACAUGAAGACAGUCCUCUAUUUGAAAGUCUACUUGACAGGCUGCCUGGUCCGACUAGCAGGAGCCUUAAAGUUGUCCCUCAACACUUAGCACCAGGACAGCAGAUUUCCAUUGACUUUCAUAACAGAAAGUAACUGCAGCCUAUCUGAACAACAAUCAUUUUGCUGGUUAUAGAAUAAAAGUCCAAUAUGAGCAAUAUGAGGCCUACGUUCAUUUUAACAAGCAAAAUAUCCUUACCUCUACAAAAUCACUGGCCCAUAUGUUCUGGAUGGAAUCACCAGUUUAGAUGGGGAACAGGAAUACAGAGACUUGUUAUUUUGUUGUAAGGCUCUGGUGUCACUUGUCAUCCCCGACAGCAGCAAAGGAGAAAAGAUCAGAGUAAUAUUGGACUAUAUCCAGCACUGUCCUUCCACCACUCUUUGAUCCAGUGAAGGGUUUUGUGAAUGCAGCAGGAUGAGAGAACGACUUUUGCCAAUUUCCCCCUUUCCUCUGCAACUCCUAUGUGGAAACAGAUGAGGGAGGGGUGAAGAGUGCAGAGUUCAGUGUGGUGCUGGCACGAAAGAGACAAUGUGCUGCUCCUUUGUCCCACCCAGCUCACUGCACCUUCCACCUUCCCCUCUCUGUAAACAGCAGUGACACUUGCCAACAGGAAAAGAGACACGAUACUCUGCCUUGCCUGUGCCACCCCAUUGGCACGUCUGUUAAAGGUAAGAGCCAUACAGAGGGAGAACAGGGCCUUAAAGUUUCCUGUUAACAGCACCUGGACUGCAGACUGAACUGGCUCGCAGGUCACCAGGCUACAGCCUCUGCCAGUAUGGUGAAAUGCAUUGUAUUUCUUCUCUUUUAAAAUUAUAGCAGUUAUUUGUAAAUUUGCAUCCAUCUGGAUAAAUCAGCACAUACGAGCUGUCAUUCUGUGCCCUCUUUUGUUCUCUUUUUUUUGACAGCGUGCAAGUAGCCACCCUAACAACUGUUGAUUAGGGACUCUGAAGUAUAGCACCCACAAAUAAGCGGUGGAUCUGCUGCAAAGUCACAAUACAGAAACGUUUGGAAAUUCUCCAAUUACCUGUGGAAGACUCCUACACAAGAUAAAAAAGUAUGCUGCUUUUUUCUUCAAACGGCUGUCAUUGUUUCAUAGAUGUGGGUGUGAAGCCUGCAAACAAACACUGUGUAAGGAGCCAGUUUAAAGGGUUUUUUCGUUUCUUUUUAACAUACAGAGCAUGAUUAAAAGAUAAAUGUUAUUCCUCAUUAUAAGGAAGAACUAAACUGUAAAGUCCUUCAAAAGCCUAAAAGCAACCAAAAAGCUGUUUUACAUAGCACGACCCACAAAGUUAAUAAACUAUAACAUCAAUACAUUUUAAUGUUAUGUUAUGUAAGGAGAAGGAUGAAACAGUUGCAUGCUCAUAGUGUAGGCAGAUCAGGAGAAAUUGGAUGCUUGCUCAGUUAUUAAUUCCUCAUUCAGGAAAGUCAGGUUCCUGGAUUGCCUUAAAACUGUAGCAGCUAGUUACCAAUUGCUCUCUUCCCAAUCUUCCAUUCCUGGAAAAGAUGCUUGAACAAGCUUGUACUAACACCAGGCACUCUAGAAUACCCAUCAGCUUUCUAGGCUACUGUGACUCUGGGCUCUAGCCUGAGUAUUAAUUAAUUAAUUAAUUAAUUAAUACCCCACGCAAAGAGUCGGACACGACUAAACGACUAAACAACAACAACAACAACAACUUCUUCCUAAAGGAGCCCAGCAACUAACAAGUGGGAAAGCAAUAAAAACAAUCCCAGAGACUGUGCUUGUGGUAUUUGUAUGUGAUUGUCAACCAGAUUUCUGCAGUAAAAAUAAUCCCUCCUGUUUUCAAUCUGCAGGGAGAGAAUUGCUGAUGUAACCAAAAUAGCACCGCCCAUGAACAAGAGAGAAGUAUCAGCAGAUUCGGGGGAAUAUCAAGGUCAGCUGGAAUUCAUAAUAUUAUAAAAACCUCUCCCAAGUUCAGCAAGAAUGCCUCCCCUAUAAUGGACACCUGAAAUGGAUACCUCACUCUGCUUCCCAAAGUGAGACCCCCCCAGUUUCAAUACCUGAAGUGGGUACCUCAGUUUGUUGCAGGAUCAUGAUCUGGGCCCGUGGGGCAGGGCUGUGGUUAUCUUCCAUUCAGCCUUGGUAGAGGCAAUAGUGAGAUACAGAGCAUGUCAGGGGGAAGUGAUGAAAGCAGCUUUUCUGUUUUGCACUGACAAUGCUGGAUUCCCAUUGACCAUGGAUCGUUCUCUUCUGGGAACCUCUUCUCUCAGCCCCACAAUGUUGCUGUGGAGAACACACCAGAGGGAAACAGAAUGGUGGCAUCUCAACAGGGCAUCUCAACAGAGCAUCAUUUGGCUUCCCUGCAUGCACAGGCCACAUGGAUGUGAGCUGCAGGAGGACCAUGGGCAGCCAGGCUGCCUCCCUUGUCCCAGGAAGAAGGCACUUGUCCUGGACAGGCAUGGGUAGAAAUGUGGCUUGAGAAGAUAAGUCUUGACAGAUGAUAUGGCACACCCAACGCAUUACAUUGAAUUGCGGAUUGUCACAGCGUUAAGCACCCAGGCCAAGAGUAAAUGAAACAAACACACAGCAACAGC
Podarcis lilfordi (Lilford's wall lizard) is the source of this 18495-nucleotide non-coding RNA. The record is from the annotation of a GenBank genome assembly. NCBI's taxonomy places the organism in Eukaryota, Metazoa, Chordata, Lepidosauria, Squamata, Lacertidae.